Molecule: ribosomal RNA, 560 nt
Filed under: uncultured bacterium
Lineage: Bacteria
Description: bacterial SSU rRNA
Rfam family: Bacterial small subunit ribosomal RNA
Source: RNAcentral
CCUACGGGAGGCAGCAGUGGGGAAUAUUGGACAAUGGGCGAAAGCCUGAUCCAGCAAUGCCGCGUGAGUGAUGAAGGCCUUCGGGUCGUAAAGCUCUUUUACCAGGGAUGAUAAUGACAGUACCUGGAGAAUAAGCUCCGGCUAACUCCGUGCCAGCAGCCGCGGUAAUACGGAGGGAGCUAGCGCUGUUCGGAAUUACUGGGCGUAAAGAGUACGUAGGCGGUUAUUCAAGUCAGAGGUGAAAGCCCGGGGCUCAACCCCGGAACUGCCUUUGAAACUAGAUAACUAGAGUCUUGGAGAGGUUAGUGGAAUUCCGAGUGUAGAGGUGAAAUUCGUAGAUAUUCGGAAGAACACCAGUGGCGAAGGCGACUAACUGGACAAGUACUGACGCUGAGGUACGAAAGCGUGGGGAGCAAACAGGAUUAGAUACCCUGGUAGUCCACGCCGUAAACGAUGAUAACUAGUUGUUCGGUCACUUGGUGACUGAGUGACGCAGCUAACGCAUUAAGUUAUCCGCCUGGGGAUACGGUCGCAAGNUUAAAACUCAAAGGAAUUGACGG